GGCGGCUGGAUCAGGCAUGCAAAGUCGAGCGCGAAUCCGGUCUUCGGACCGAUAGUAGGGCGGCGAACGGGUGAGUAACACGUGAGUAACCUGCCCCUGGAUCCGGGAUAGCCCCGGGAAACCGGGAUUAAUACCGGAUGCGGCCUUUCCCCUGCAUGGGGGAUCGGCCAAAGGGUUAAGUACCGUCCGGGGAUGGGCUCGCGGCCCAUUAGCUUGUCGGUGAGGUAACGGCUCACCGAGGCUGAGACGGGUAGCUGGUCUGAGAGGAUGAUCAGUCACACUGGCACUGAGACACUGGCCGGACUCCUACGGGAGGCUGCAGUCGAGAAUCUUCGGCAAUGGGCGCAAGCCUGACCGAGCGAUGCCGCGUGGGUGAAGAAGGCCUUCGGGUCGUAAAGCCCUGUCACCCGGGACGAAGCCUGACGGUACCGGGAGAGGAAGCCACGGCUAACUACGUGCCAGCAGCCGCAGUAACACGUAGGUGGCGAGCGUUAUUCGGAAUUACUGGGCGUAAAGGGUCCGCAGGGGGUUUGCCAAGUCUGCUGUGGAAGCCCGCGGCUCAACCGCGGAAGUGCAGUGGAAACUGGCGAACUGGAGUGCACGAGAGGAGAGCGGAAUUCCCGGUGUAGCGGUGGAAUGCGUAGAUAUCGGGAAGAACAUCGACGGCGAAGGCAGCUCUCUGGCGUGUCACUGACCCUCAGGGACGAAAGCGUGGGCAGCGAACAGGAUUAGAUACCCUGGUAGUCCACGCCGUAAACGUUGUGCACUCGAUGCGGGCGGCAGCCCCGUCCGUGUCCAAGUCAACGCGUUAAGUGCACCGCCUGGGGACUACGGCCGCAAGGCUAAAACUCAAAGGAAUUGACGGGGGCCCGCACAACCGGUGGAGCAUGUGGCUCAAUUCGAGGCUACGCGAAGAACCUUACCCGGGCUUGACAUAUACCGGCUUCUCUGUGAAAGCAGGGUUCCGCCUUGUGCGGACCGGUAUACAGGUGCUGCAUGGCU
This 1002-nucleotide ribosomal RNA is filed under the name uncultured bacterium. RNAcentral's name for it is "bacterial SSU rRNA". It matches the Rfam family "Bacterial small subunit ribosomal RNA", at positions 38 to 1050 of the family's 1533-position model. The record is from RNAcentral.